UUCCAGACUCCUACGGGAGGCAGCAGUGGGGAAUAUUGCACAAUGGGGGAAACCCUGAUGCAGCGACGCCGCGUGAGCGAUGAAGUAUUUCGGUAUGUAAAGCUCUAUCAGCAGGGAAGAAAAUGACGGUACCUGACUAAGAAGCCCCGGCUAACUACGUGCCAGCAGCCGCGGUAAUACGUAGGGGGCAAGCGUUAUCCGGAUUUACUGGGUGUAAAGGGAGCGUAGACGGCGGUGCAAGCCAGAUGUGAAAGCCCGGGGCUCAACCCCGGGACUGCUCUUGGAACUGCGUGGCUGGAGUGCAGGAGGGGCAGGCGGAAUUCCUGGUGUAGCGGUGAGAUGCGUAGAUAUCAGGAGGAACACCGGUGGCGAAGGCGGCCUGCUGGACUGCGACUGACGUUGAGGCCCGAAAGCGUGGGGAGCAAACAGGAUUAGAUACCCGGGUAA
Molecule: ribosomal RNA, 447 nt
Filed under: uncultured bacterium
Lineage: Bacteria
Description: partial 16S ribosomal RNA
Rfam family: Bacterial small subunit ribosomal RNA
Source: RNAcentral